AGUGAACGCUGGCGGUAGGCCUAACACAUGCAAGUCGAACGGCAGCACAGUAAGAGCUUGCUCUUACGGGUGGCGAGUGGCGGACGGGUGAGGAAUACAUCGGAAUCUACUUUUUCGUGGGGGAUAACGUAGGGAAACUUACGCUAAUACCGCAUACGACCUACGGGUGAAAGCAGGGGAUCUUCGGACCUUUCGCGAUUGAAUGAGCCGAUGUCGGAUUAGCUAGUUGGCGGGGUAAAGGCCCACCAAGGCGACGAUCCGUAGCUGGUCUGAGAGGAUGAUCAGCCACACUGGAACUGAGACACGGUCCAGACUCCUACGGGAGGCAGCAGUGGGGAAUAUUGGACAAUGGGCGCAGGCCUGAUCCAGCCAUACCGCGUGGGUGAAGAAGGCCUUCGGGUUGUAAAGCCCUUUUGUUGGGAAAGAAAAGCAGCAGGUUAAUACCCCGCUGUUCUGACGGUACCCAAAGAAUAAGCACCGGCUAACUUCGUG
Molecule: ribosomal RNA, 492 nt
Filed under: uncultured bacterium
Lineage: Bacteria
Description: partial 16S ribosomal RNA
Rfam family: Bacterial small subunit ribosomal RNA
Source: RNAcentral